This is an RNA transcript of Diospyros lotus (date-plum), 2737 nucleotides long. It is a transcript of the gene named glycerophosphodiester phosphodiesterase GDPDL3-like, with no coding region annotated. The transcript is spliced from 11 exons. Lineage: Eukaryota; Viridiplantae; Streptophyta; Magnoliopsida; Ericales; Ebenaceae. The record is from RefSeq and is a predicted model, not a curated record.
GCUCUCUCGUGGCCAGACAGCCGGAGGAAGUGCUCUCUCUCUCUCUCUCUCUCUCUCUCUCUCUGUGUUGCGUGCGCCGGGGAAAAGUUGGCUGCCUGAAUAUUCCGCCGGAAACCGCCUCAAGAUUCGGAGCGGCAGAAUUUUACGGCGAAAUGUGGAAGUUAUGGUCAUUGUUGCAUCUUUUGCACCUUUCCUCGGCGAUGUUGGCUUCUGCGAAGACACGUAGCAAUGGAACCACUUUGUGGAAGACAUUGAGCGGUAUCUCAUGUGCAAGAAGGAAGGGAGAUUUGCAAGGAAAUGCACCUCUAGUCAUAGCGCGUGGUGGCUUCUCAGGGAUAUUUCCUGAUUCCAGUGGAGGCGCUUACGAGUUUGCUGGACAGACCAGCUUACCCGAUGUUAUCAACUGGUGUGAUGUACAGCUGACAAAAGAUGGAGCUGGCAUUUGCUUUCCCGAUCUCACUCUUGACAAUGCUUCUGACAUAAAACAGAUAUAUAAGAACAAGGGUAAUACCUAUUAUGUUAAUGGGGUAAAGACGUCAGGAUGGUUCUCUGUGGAUUUCACCAUCAAUGACCUGGCAAAUGUAACUUUAAUUCAGGGAAUUCCUGCUCGUGUCCCUUACUAUAAUGGCAUAUACAAAAUUCUUACCGUUCAAGUUGUGGCUAAGUUGUAUCCACCAGAAUUAUGGUUGAAUGUCCAGCAUGACGCAUUCUUCAGCCAACAGAACCUGAGUAUGAGAAGCUAUAUACUUUCUGUGUUUAGGAGUACUAAAGUUGAUUAUAUCUCUUCACCAGAGGUGAGCUUCUUGAAGAGCAUACUGGCUCGUAAACCAAACAAAACAAAGUUGAUCUUCCGGUUUCCGGGACAAGCUGAAUUAGUUGAGCCUUCAACCAACCAAACUUAUAGUUCUCUGCUAAGGAAUCUUACGUUUAUCAAGACAUUUGCAUCCGGAAUUCUGGUUCCUAAGACUUACAUAUGGCCUGUUGAUAGAGAUCUAUAUCUAGAGCCUCAUACUUCAAUUGUCUUCGAUGCUCAUAGAGAAGGUCUAGAAAUUUUUGCAUCAGAUUUUGCAAAUGACAACGAUUUUGCUUAUGAUUUCGCCUAUGAUCCUAUAGCUGAGUAUCUGCAUUUUAUCGACAAUGGGAACUUCUCUGUUGACGGUGUGCUUUCUGACUUUCCAAUAACUCCAUCGGAGGCCAUAGGCUGCUUCUCCCACAUAGGUAAACGCAUGAAAGCACAAGCAAACCCUUUGGUUAUCUCAUCAGAAGGAUCAAGUGGUUACUACCCUGGUUGUACUGAUUUGGCUUAUCAGAGGGCCAUUUCAGGUGGUGUAGAUGUUCUUGACUGUCCUGUUCAAAUGUCAAAGGAUGGGAUACCAGUUUGCUUGGGCUCUAUUAACCUCUUAGAUAAGACAAAUGUUGCUGAGUCAAAUUUCAAAAACCUUAUAUUACAAAUUCCAGAACUUGAGGGAGUCACGGGAAUAUUUACUUUCAGUCUAACAUGGAGUGAGAUUCAGAGUUUGAAACCUAAAAUGUCAAAUCCAUAUGGAGAAGAUUACAAGUUGUAUCGUAAUCCAAAAUUCAGUGAGGAUGUUAAGUUCAUGACAUUGUCUGAAUUUCUGGUCCUCGCAAAUAAUGCUAAUUCUGUUUCUGGUGUAUUGAUCAGCAUAGAAGAUGCAGCCUACUUAGCGGAAAAGCAGGGACUAAGUGUAAUUGAUGCUGUUCUUGAUGCCCUAAAAAAUGCAAGCCACAACAAUGACACGGUCAAGAAGGUUAUGAUUCAGUCCACUGACAGUGCAGUUCUGAUCAAGUUAAGGGAGAAAAGCAAUUAUGAGCUUGUUUACAAGGUUCAAGAAGCAAUCCGUGAUGCUGAUAACUUGGCCAUAACAGAAAUCAAGAAGUUUGCCAAUUCUGUGGUAGUCAGAAAGGGGUCUGUCUUUUCUUUCCGCGGGGACUACAUAACUAGUAUUAAAGAUGUUGUAUCAAAGCUACAGGCAUUCAACCUUUCAGUAUAUGUAGGACUCUUCAGAAAUGAGUUUGUCUCUCUAGCCCAGGAUUUCCUUGGAGACGCAAAUGUAGAGAUCAACACAUUUGUGAAGCUUGUUCAAAUUGAUGGCAUUAUCACAGAAUUCCCAGGGACAGCUUCUAGACACAAGAGGAACCGUUGUUUAGGAUUGGGCGAUAAAAUGCCAACUUACAUGAAGCCUGUACGUCCUGGUGAGCUCUUAAGUUUCGUCCCUUCCUUCUUUUCGCCACCGGCUGAAGCUCCUUCCCCUGUACUGACUGAGGAUGAUGUGGUUGAGCGACCUCUGCCUCCUGUUACGGAGGGAGCGCCGGCUCCUAGCAACGGGCCGGCAGCAGCGGCGGCUCCAACCCCACCAAAUGGGGAGGCUAUGGUCCCUCCACCCUUCUUCCUUUCUCAUCUUGCAGCCCUCCUUGCAACUCUUGUAUUCCUGUGAAAGCAAAUGUUGCAGCUCCAUCACUUGGCAUCCAAAAUCCACAGAUUCAAAGCAGCUGAGAAAUUCUUAAUAUUAGUAGCAUUCAUCUUGUUUCUGCCUUUGUAAUAAUGUAAGCACGUUUCUCAUGCUUCUCCCUGCAUUUUAUUUUUGAGAAACCACUCACUGUUAGCUGCAGGUUUCAUAGUUUUGAUCGUGUAAAUGUGUUAAUAAUAUACUCUGAUGUGUAUAUGUAAUAUGUAAACGGGUAUUUCUAUUGCACCAACUUCUCCACCUUGUGGGAA